This 385-nucleotide ribosomal RNA is filed under the name uncultured bacterium. RNAcentral's name for it is "bacterial SSU rRNA". It matches the Rfam family "Bacterial small subunit ribosomal RNA", at positions 109 to 507 of the family's 1533-position model. The record is from RNAcentral.
AGUAACACGUGGGUGAUCUGCCCUGCACUUUGGGAUAAGCCUGGGAAACUAGGUCUAAUACCGGAUAGGACUACGGCCUGCAUGGGUUGUGGUGGAAAGCUUUGCGGUGUGGGAUGGGCCCGCGGCCUAUCAGCUUGUUGGUGGGGGUGAUGGCCUACCAAGGCGACGACGGGUAGCCGGCCUGAGAGGGUGACCGGCCACACUGGGACUGAGAUACGGCCCAGACUCCUACGGGAGGCAGCAGGUGGGGAAUAUUGCACAAUGGGCGCAACGCCUGAUGCAGCGACGCCGCGUGGGGAUGACGGCCUUCGGGUUGUAAACCUCUUUCAGUAGGGACGAAGCGUAAGUGACGGUACCUAUAGAAGAAGCACCGGCCAACUACGUG